CACGUAGUUAGCCGUGGCUUUCUGGUUAGAUACCGUCGAAACGUGAACAGUUACUCUCACGCACUUUCUUCUCUAACAACAGGGUUUUACGAUCCGAAGACCUUCUUCACCCACGCGGCGUUGCUCCAUCAGGCUUUCGCCCAUUGUGGAAGAUUCCCUACUGCUGCCUCCCGUAGGAGUUUGGGCCGUGUCUCAGUCCCAAUGUGGCCGAUCAACCUCUCAGUUCGGCUACGCAUCAUUGCCUUGGUAAGCCUUUACCCCACCAACUAGCUAAUGCGCCGCGGGCCCAUCCAAAAGCGGUAGCAUAGCCACCUUUUACAUAGUUACCAUGCGGUAACUAUGGUUAUGCGGUAUUAGCACCUGUUUCCAAGUGUUAUCCCCCUCUUUUGGGCAGGUUGCCCACGUGUUACUCACCCGUUCGCCACUCAACUCUUUAUCGGUGAGUGCAAGCACUCGGUGAUAAAGAAGUUUCGUUCGACUUGCAUGUAUUAGGCACGCCGCCAGCGUUCAU
Molecule: ribosomal RNA, 511 nt
Filed under: uncultured Lactobacillus sp.
Lineage: Bacteria; Bacillati; Bacillota; Bacilli; Lactobacillales; Lactobacillaceae
Description: partial 16S ribosomal RNA
Source: RNAcentral